GGAUUAGGCAUGCAAGUCGAACGAGGAUAUAUCCUUCGGGAUAUAAGCCGAGUGGCGCAAGGGUGAGUAAUGCAUAGAUUACCUGCCUCUAGGAUAAGGACAACUUUGUGAAAACGAAGCUAAUACUUAAUAAUACAAAAGAAAAUAAUUUUUUUUUGUCAAUGGGAGGGUAGCAAUACCUUUUGCCUAGAGAGGGGUUUAUGUCCUAUCAGCUUGUUGGAGGGGUAAUGGCCUACCAAGGCAAAGACGGGUAGCCGGUCUUAGAGGAUGGUCGGCCACACUGGGACUGAGACACUGCCCAGACUUCUACGGAAGGCUGCAGUCGAGAAUCUUUCGCAAUGCCCGAAAGGGUGACGAAGCGACGCCGCGUGAGUGAGGAAGGCCUUAGGGUUGUAAAGCUCUGUCAGGAGUUAAGAAAUAUAAGUGUGCUAAUACCACAUUUAUUUGACGAAGGCUCCAAAGGAAGCCACGGCUAACUCUGUGCCAGCAGCCGCGGUAAUACAGAGGUGGCAAGCGUUGUUCGGAAUUAUUGGGCGUAAAGAGCACGUAGGUGGGUUUGUAAGUCAGAUGUGAAAGCCUUCUGUUCAACGGAAGAAUUGCAUCUGAAACUGCAAGUCUUGAGUGUAGGAGGGGAGAAUGGAACUUCUGGUGGAGCGGUGAAAUGCGUAGAUAUCAGAAGGAACGCCGGCGGCGAAAGCGAUUCUCUGGCCUAUUACUGACACUCAGUGUGCGAAAGCUAGGGGAGCAAACGGGAUUAGAUACCCCGGUAGUCCUAGCCGUAAACGAUGGGCACUAAGUAGAGGGAAUUACCGAUGUUCUCUCUGCCGUAGCUAACGCAUUAAGUGCCCCGCCUGGGGAGUACGGCCGCAAGGCUAAAACUCAAAAGAAUUGACGGGGGCUCGCACAAGCGGUGGAGCAUGUGGCUUAAUUCGAUGCAACGCGAAAAACCUUACCGGGGCUUGACAUGGUAGAAGUAGGAACCCGAAAGGGUAACGAACGGUAUCCAGUCCGUAGCUAUCACAGGUGUUGCAUGGCUGUCGUCAGCUCGUGUCGUGAGACGUUGGGUUAAGUCCCCUAACGAGCGAAACCCUUGUUUUUAGUUACCAGCGGGUUAUGCCGGGUACUCUAGAAAGACUGCCGUCGUCAAGACGGAGGAAGGUGGGGAUGACGUCAAGUCAUCAUGGCCCUUAUGCCCCGGGCUGCACACGUGCUACAAUGGUCGGUACAAACGGAAGCGAAGCCGAGAGGUGAAGCGAAUCCUAAAAAGCCGAUCUCAGUUCGGAUUGGAGGCUGAAAUUCGCCUCCAUGAAGUUGGAAUCGCUAGUAAUCGCGGAUCAGCAAUGCCGCGGUGAAUAUGUUCCCGAGCCUUGUACACACCGCCCGU
RNAcentral lists this ribosomal RNA (1384 nucleotides) under uncultured Planctomycetota bacterium. RNAcentral describes it as "bacterial SSU rRNA". It matches the Rfam family "Bacterial small subunit ribosomal RNA", at positions 46 to 1397 of the family's 1533-position model. Lineage: Bacteria; Pseudomonadati; Planctomycetota. The record is from RNAcentral.